RNAcentral lists this ribosomal RNA (253 nucleotides) under uncultured bacterium. RNAcentral's name for it is "partial 16S ribosomal RNA". It matches the Rfam family "Bacterial small subunit ribosomal RNA", at positions 524 to 776 of the family's 1533-position model. The record is from RNAcentral.
UACGUAGGGGGCAAGCGUUGUCCGGAUUUAUUGGGCGUAAAGAGCGUGUAGGCGGUUAGGUAGGUCCGUUGUGAAAACUCGAGGCUCAACCUCGAGACGCCGAUGGAAACCAUCUGACUAGAGUCCGGAAGAGGAGAGUGGAAUUCCUGGUGUAGCGGUGAAAUGCGUAGAUAUCGAGAGGAACACCUGCGGCGAAGGCGGGUUGCUGGGCUGACACUGACGCUGAUGCGCGAAAGCCAGGGGAGCGAACGGG